Molecule: ribosomal RNA, 637 nt
Filed under: uncultured bacterium
Lineage: Bacteria
Description: bacterial SSU rRNA
Rfam family: Bacterial small subunit ribosomal RNA
Source: RNAcentral
UAAAGAUUCAUCGCUGAUAGAUAGGCAUGCGUUCCAUUAGGCAGUUGGCGGGGUAACGGCCCACCAAACCGACGAUGGAUAGGGGUUCUGAGAGGAAGGUCCCCCACAUUGGUACUGAGACACGGACCAAACUCCUACGGGAGGCAGCAGUGAGGAAUAUUGGUCAAUGGGCGUAAGCCUGAACCAGCCAAGUCGCGUGAGGGAUGAAGGUUCUAUGGAUCGUAAACCUCUUUUAUAAGGGAAUAAAGUGUGGGACGUGUCCUAUUUUGUAUGUACCUUAUGAAUAGGGAUCGGCUAACUCCGUGCCAGCAGCCGCGGUAAUACGGAGGAUCCGAGCGUUAUCCGGAUUUAUUGGGUUUAAAGGGUGCGUAGGCGGCCUUUUAAGUCAGCGGUGAAAGUCUGUGGCUCAACCAUAGAAUUGCCGUUGAAACUGGGGGGCUUGAGUAUGUUUGAGGCAGGCGGAAUGCGUGGUGUAGCGGUGAAAUGCUUAGAUAUCACGCAGAACCCCGAUUGCGAAGGCAGCCUGCCAAGCCAUGACUGACGCUGAUGCACGAAAGCGUGGGGAUCAAACAGGAUUAGAUACCCUGGUAGUCCACGCAGUAAACGAUGAUCACUAGCUGUUUGCGAUACAGUGUAA